RNAcentral lists this unclassified non-coding RNA (18 nucleotides) under Chlamydomonas reinhardtii. RNAcentral describes it as "small RNA Cre_0940". The record is from RNAcentral. Lineage: Eukaryota; Viridiplantae; Chlorophyta; Chlorophyceae; Chlamydomonadales; Chlamydomonadaceae.
CAGGCAUGGGAGGACGUG